UGCUUCGCUGACGAGUGGCGGACGGGUGAGUAAUGUCUGGGAAACUGCCUGAUGGAGGGGGAUAACUACUGGAAACGGUAGCUAAUACCGCAUAACGUCGCAAGACCAAAGAGGGGGACCUUCGGGCCUCUUGCCAUCGGAUGUGCCCAGAUGGGAUUAGCUUGUAGGUGGGGUAACGGCUCACCUAGGCGACGAUCCCUAGCUGGUCUGAGAGGAUGACCAGCCACACUGGAACUGAGACACGGUCCAGACUCCUACGGGAGGCAGCAGUGGGGAAUAUUGCACAAUGGGCGCAAGCCUGAUGCAGCCAUGCCGCGUGUAUGAAGAAGGCCUUCGGGUUGUAAAGUACUUUCAGCGGGGAGGAAGGGAGUAAAGUUAAUACCUUUGCUCAUUGACGUUACCCGCAGAAGAAGCACCGGCUAACUCCGUGCCAGCAGCCGCGGUAAUACGGAGGGUGCAAGCGUUAAUCGGAAUUACUGGGCGUAAAGCGCACGCAGGCGGUUUGUUAAGUCAGAUGUGAAAUCCCCGGGCUCAACCUGGGAACUGCAUCUGAUACUGGCAAGCUUGAGUCUCGUAGAGGGGGGUAGAAUUCCAGGUGUAGCGGUGAAAUGCGUAGAGAUCUGGAGGAAUACCGGUGGCGAAGGCGGCCCCCUGGACGAAGACUGACGCUCAGGUGCGAAAGCGUGGGGAGCAAACAGGAUUAGAUACCCUGGUAGUCCACGCCGUAAACGAUGUCGACUUGGAGGUUGUGCCCUUGAGGCGUGGCUUCCGGAGCUAACGCGUUAAGUCGACCGCCUGGGGAGUACGGCCGCAAGGUUAAAACUCAAAUGAAUUGACGGGGGCCCGCACAAGCGGUGGAGCAUGUGGUUUAAUUCGAUGCAACGCGAAGAACCUUACCUGGUCUUGACAUCCACAGAACUUUCCAGAGAUGGAUUGGUGCCUUCGGGAACUGUGAGACAGGUGCUGCAUGGCUGUCGUCAGCUCGUGUUGUGAAAUGUUGGGUUAAGUCCCGCAACGAGCGCAACCCUUAUCCUUUGUUGCCAGCGGUCCGGCCGGGAACUCAAAGGAGACUGCCAGUGAUAAACUGGAGGAAAGGGGGGAUGACGUCAAGUCAUCAUGGGCCUUACACACAGGGGU
RNAcentral lists this ribosomal RNA (1137 nucleotides) under Escherichia coli. RNAcentral describes it as "bacterial SSU rRNA". It matches the Rfam family "Bacterial small subunit ribosomal RNA", at positions 81 to 1215 of the family's 1533-position model. Lineage: Bacteria; Pseudomonadati; Pseudomonadota; Gammaproteobacteria; Enterobacterales; Enterobacteriaceae. The record is from RNAcentral.